GAAAGAUAUUUCACUUGCUCACCAAGUAUCUGCACUGGGAUGAGGAGCCUCCAGGAAACAUCCACAAUGCUAUCACCAGCACCCUGAAGUCUUUUCUGGAAGACAGCAGUCUGAGGUUCCUGGAGAACAGCUGGUAUGGUUAUGAUCUUUGCCCUGCUACCUGGAACUACAUCUUCAGCCUGGAUCUUCUGUGUGCACAACUGGGCUGGACUUGGACCAUUACCAAUAUUAUACGGAAGUGGUAGCUCAGUGGUGAAGGCUCUGGAUUACA
Molecule: long non-coding RNA, 271 nt
Organism: Silurus meridionalis
Lineage: Eukaryota; Metazoa; Chordata; Actinopteri; Siluriformes; Siluridae
Exons: 3
Source: RefSeq, a predicted model, not a curated record